Molecule: long non-coding RNA, 555 nt
Filed under: Gallus gallus (chicken)
Lineage: Eukaryota; Metazoa; Chordata; Aves; Galliformes; Phasianidae
Description: long non-coding RNA NONGGAT008930
Source: RNAcentral
UGAGAGGAAUUGAGGAUCCCCCUGUUCUGCGCAAAGCCCAGGAGAAGGAAGAGAUGCAGGAGGAGUUGCCUGUCUCCAGCCACUGCCCAGGCACAGGGGACAGAGGCACACCCACAGCCACUGUGGCGCAGCUGAGUUCCUCCACAGCCAGAAAUGGUGGGAGAAAACUCUGGUGCUGAGUCACAUUUCCUUCCCAUGGGCUCAUGCUGGGAUGGAUGGAUGCGCCUGCCCUGUGCCUGCAGGGCCUCACUGCAUGGCUCCUGCUGGGUGAGCGUGCUGGACUGAUCGAGGUGGAUGCAGUGGUCCCCGUCAGAUGUGUGCCAAAUUGAAAUGCCAGCAGCUGUGUGAGCAGCGGGAUAAUCAUAUCUGCUGCUUCUCUCUUCCAAGUCCUGGCAUUCCCAUUUCAGCAAUGGUGUGUCCGUGCUCAGCUCCGCGGGAGGAAAUCCAUUGACCGAAGCCAUGCUGACGCCUGGGGGAUGCGGUUACAUGUUCAUCAGUCACCUGUCUGACUGUGGACCCACUGGGUAGGGCGCUGGUGACUUAAUGCGUUGUUUU